RNAcentral lists this ribosomal RNA (460 nucleotides) under uncultured bacterium. Its description in RNAcentral is "partial 16S ribosomal RNA". It matches the Rfam family "Bacterial small subunit ribosomal RNA", at positions 338 to 795 of the family's 1533-position model. The record is from RNAcentral.
CCUACGGGUGGCAGCAGUGAGGAAUAUUGGUCAAUGGACGCGAGUCUGAACCAGCCAAGUCGCGUGAAGGAUGACUGCCCUAUGGGUUGUAAACUUCUUUUGUCUGGGAAUAACAUGUUCCACGUGUGGGAUUUUGUAUAUACCAUAUGAAUAAGGCUCGGCUAACUCCGUGCCAGCAGCCGCGGUAAUAAGGAGGGUCCGAGAGUUAUCCGGAUUUAAUGGGGUUAAAGGGAGCGUAGGUGGAUUCGUAAGUCAGUUGUGAAAGUUUGAGGCUCAACCGUAAAAUUGCAGUUGAAACUGGCAGUCUUGAGUACAGGAGAGGUGGGCGGAAUUCGUGGUGUAGCGGUGAAAUGCUUAGAUAUCACGAAGAACUCCGAUUGCGAAGGCAGCUCACUGGACUGCAACUGACACUGAGGCUCGAAAGUGUGGGUAUCAAACAGGAUUAGAUACCCUAGUAGUC